ACGACCUUACUUGAACAGGAUCUGUUCUAUAGGAUCGUUCCGCUAUAUGCUUGACCAAUAAGGAGGCAAGCACUUAAUCUUGGUUGAUGACAAAUGACCUGUACGCCAGAGCGUGAUUAACGGCUCAGAUCGCUUCCCUGUACUGCGAUCCCAUUUGCUGUAGAGGAUCGUUCCUGGUCGGCUUCGGGCCGCCCUGGGUGGCCUACAGCUUGUCUGACAAGCC
This is a non-coding RNA of Brachypodium distachyon (stiff brome), 223 nucleotides long. NCBI's taxonomy places the organism in Eukaryota, Viridiplantae, Streptophyta, Magnoliopsida, Poales, Poaceae. The record is from Rfam.